This 842-nucleotide ribosomal RNA is filed under the name uncultured bacterium. RNAcentral's name for it is "bacterial SSU rRNA". It matches the Rfam family "Bacterial small subunit ribosomal RNA", at positions 58 to 916 of the family's 1533-position model. The record is from RNAcentral.
CAAGUCGAACGUGAAAGUUCUUCGGAAUGAGUAAAGUGGCGCACGGGUGAGUAAUACUUGGGUAAUGUACCCAAUCGCUGGGGAUAACUAGGCGAAAGCUUAGCUAAUACCGAAUGGUCCCGUCUUUUCUCCGGAUUAGAUGGGUAAAGCCGUAAGGCGCGAUUGGAGCAGCCCUCGUCCCAUUAGCUAGUUGGCGGGGUAAAGGCCCACCAAGGCUACGAUGGGUAGCUGGUCUUAGAGGAUGAUCAGCCACACUGGUACUGGAACACGGACCAGACUCCUACGGGAGGCAGCAGUUAGGAAUUUUGCGCAAUGGGCGAAAGCCUGACGCAGCAACGCCGCGUGAGGGAUGAAGGCCUUCGGGUUGUAAACCUCUUUUAGUAGGGAAGAAAAAAAUGACGGUACCUACAGAAAAAGCACCGGCUAACUCUGUGCCAGCAGCCGCGGUAAUACAGAGGGUGCAAGCGUUAUUCGGAAUCACUGGGCGUAAAGGGCGCGUAGGCUGUUUGAUAAGUUUGAUGUGAAAGCCCUGAACUCAGUUCAGGAAGUGCAUCGAAUACUGUCAGACUAGAGUAUAGGAGAGGAGAACGGAAUUCCUGGUGUAGAGGUAAAAUUCGUAGAUAUCAGGAGGAACAACAGUGGCGAAGGCGGUUCUCUGGACUAUAACUGACGCUGAGGCGCGAAAGUGUGGGGAUCAAACAGGAUUAGAUACCCUGGUAGUCCACACCGUAAACGAUGGAUACUAGAUGUCGGGGGUCUGUCCCCUCGGUAUCGUAGCUAACGUGUUAAGUAUCCCGCCUGGGAAGUACGGCCGCAAGGUUAAAACUCAAAGAAAUUGACGG